Molecule: ribosomal RNA, 333 nt
Filed under: uncultured bacterium
Lineage: Bacteria
Description: bacterial SSU rRNA
Rfam family: Bacterial small subunit ribosomal RNA
Source: RNAcentral
AGAGUUUGAUCCUGGCUCAGAACAAACGCUGGCGGCGUGCCUAACACAUGCAAGUCGUACGUGAAAGUUCCGCAAGGAACGAGUAAAGUGGCGAACGGGUGAGUAAUACAUAGGUAAUCUACUUAUAAGUUCGGGAUAACAGUUCGAAAGGAUUGCUAAUACCGGAUAAUGUGCUUAGUCAAAAGAUUAAGUACCAAAGGUGGCCUCUUCACAAUGCUAUCGAUUAUAAAUGAGCCUAUGGACCAUUAGUUAGUUGGCAGGGUAAUAGCCUACCAAGACAAAGAUGGUUAGCUGGUCUGAGAGGAUGCCGGCCACACUGAACUGAAACACGUC